AUUGAACGCUGGCGGCAGGCCUAACACAUGCAAGUCGAGCGGAUGACGGGAGCUUGCUCCUUGAUUCAGCGACGGACGGGUGAGUAAUGCCUAGGAAUCUGCCUGGUAGUGGGGGGCAACGUUUCGAAAGGAACGCUAAUACCGCAUACGUCCUACGGGAGAAAGCAGGGGACCUUCGGGCCUUGCGCUAUCAGAUGAGCCUAGGUCGGAUUAGCUAGUUGGUGGGGUAAUGGCUCACCAAGGCGACGAUCCGUAACUGGUCUGAGAGGAUGAUCAGUCACACUGGAACUGAGACACGGUCCAGACUCCUACGGGAGGCAGCAGUGGGGAAUAUUGGACAAUGGGCGAAAGCCUGAUCCAGCCAUGCCGCGUGUGUGAAGAAGGUCUUCGGAUUGUAAAGCACUUUAAGUUGGGAGGAAGGGCAGUAAGCUAAUACCUUGCUGUUUUGACGUUACCGACAGAAUAAGCACCGGCUAACUCUGUGCCAGCAGCCGCGGUAAUACAGAGGGUGCAAGCGUUAAUCGGAAUUACUGGGCGUAAAGCGCGCGUAGGUGGUUUGUUAAGUUGGAUGUGAAAGCCCCGGGCUCAACCUGGGAACUGCAUCCAAAACUGGCAAGCUAGAGUACGGUAGAGGGUGGUGGAAUUUCCUGUGUAGCGGUGAAAUGCGUAGAUAUAGGAAGGAACACCAGUGGCGAAGGCGACCACCUGGACUGAUACUGACACUGAGGUGCGAAAGCGUGGGGAGCAAA
This 749-nucleotide ribosomal RNA is filed under the name uncultured bacterium. Its description in RNAcentral is "bacterial SSU rRNA". It matches the Rfam family "Bacterial small subunit ribosomal RNA", at positions 28 to 772 of the family's 1533-position model. The record is from RNAcentral.